UUAAAUUGAAGAGUUUGAUCAUGGCUCAGAUUGAACGCUGGCGGCAGGCCUAACACAUGCAAGUCGAACGGUAACAGGAAGCAGCUUGCUGCUUUGCUGACGAGUGGCGGACGGGUGAGUAAUGUCUGGGAAACUGCCCGAUGGAGGGGGAUAACUACU
Molecule: ribosomal RNA, 159 nt
Filed under: Salmonella enterica subsp. enterica serovar Schwarzengrund
Lineage: Bacteria; Pseudomonadati; Pseudomonadota; Gammaproteobacteria; Enterobacterales; Enterobacteriaceae
Description: partial 16S ribosomal RNA
Rfam family: Bacterial small subunit ribosomal RNA
Source: RNAcentral